RNAcentral lists this ribosomal RNA (537 nucleotides) under uncultured Bacteroidales bacterium. RNAcentral describes it as "bacterial SSU rRNA". It matches the Rfam family "Bacterial small subunit ribosomal RNA", at positions 223 to 757 of the family's 1533-position model. Lineage: Bacteria; Pseudomonadati; Bacteroidota; Bacteroidia; Bacteroidales. The record is from RNAcentral.
CGAUGGGGAUGCGUUCCAUUAGAUAGUAGGCGGGGUAACGGCCCACCUAGUCAACGAUGGAUAGGGGUUCUGAGAGGAAGGUCCCCCACAUUGGAACUGAGACACGGUCCAAACUCCUACGGGAGGCAGCAGUGAGGAAUAUUGGUCAAUGGACGUAAGUCUGAACCAGCCAAGUCGCGUGAGGGAAGACUGCCCUAUGGGUUGUAAACCUCUUUUAUAAGGGAAGAAUAAGUUGUACGUGUAGAAUGAUGCAUGUACCUUAUGAAUAAGCAUCGGCUAACUCCGUGCCAGCAGCCGCGGUAAUACGGAGGAUGCGAGCGUUAUCCGGAUUUAUUGGGUUUAAAGGGUGCGUAGGCGGACGCUUAAGUCAGUUGUGAAAGUUUGCGGCUCAACCGUAAAAUUGCAGUUGAUACUGGGUGUCUUGAGUACAGUAGAGGCAGGCGGAAUUCGUGGUGUAGCGGUGAAAUGCUUAGAUAUCACGAAGAACUCCGAUUGCGAAGGCAGCCUGCUGGACUGUAACUGACGCUGAUGCUCGAA